RNAcentral lists this ribosomal RNA (476 nucleotides) under uncultured Gemmata sp. Its description in RNAcentral is "bacterial SSU rRNA". It matches the Rfam family "Bacterial small subunit ribosomal RNA", at positions 9 to 522 of the family's 1533-position model. The record is from RNAcentral. Lineage: Bacteria; Pseudomonadati; Planctomycetota; Planctomycetia; Gemmatales; Gemmataceae.
GAGUUUGAUCCUGGCUCAGAACGAACGUUGGCGGCAUGGAUUAGGCAUGCAAGUCGCGGGGUCCCAGCAAUGGGAGACCGGCGUAAGGGGCAGUAAGGCGUGGGUACCUACCCCGGGGUCCGGGAUAGCCGCCAGAGAUGGCGGGUAAUACCGGAUGACCUCGAGAGAGCAAAGGUCCGCCGCCCCGGGAGGGGCCCACGUGAUAUUAGCUAGUUGGCGGGGUAACGGCCCACCAAGGCGACGAUGUCUAGCGGGUGUGAGAGCACGACCCGCGCCACUCGCACUGAGACACUGGCGAGACACCUACGGGUGGCUGCAGUCGAGGAUCUUCGGCAAUGGGGGCAACCCUGACCGAGCGAUGCCGCGUGCGCGAUGAAGGCCUUCGGGUUGUAAAGCACUGUCGAGGGGGAGAAAAGCGAAAGCUUGAUCUAUCCCUGGAGGAAGCACGGGCUAAGUUCGUGCCAGCAGCCGCGGUA